Molecule: ribosomal RNA, 497 nt
Filed under: uncultured bacterium
Lineage: Bacteria
Description: partial 16S ribosomal RNA
Rfam family: Bacterial small subunit ribosomal RNA
Source: RNAcentral
GAUGAACGCUGGCGGCGUGCCUAAUACAUGCAAGUCGAGCGAACAGACGAGGAGCUUGCUCCUCUGACGUUAGCGGCGGACGGGUGAGUAACACGUGGAUAACCUACCUAUAAGACUGGGAUAACUUCGGGAAACCGGAGCCAAUACCGGAUAAUAUAUUGAACCGCAUGGAUCAAUAGUGCAAGGCGGUUUUGCUGUCACUUAUAGAUGGAUCCGCGCCGCAUUAGCUAGUUGGUAAGGUAACGGCUUACCAAGGCAACGAUGCGUAGCCGACCUGAGAGGGUGAUCGGCCACACUGGAACUGAGACACGGUCCAGACUCCUACGGGAGGCAGCAGUAGGGAAUCUUCCGCAAUGGGCGCAAGCCUGACGGAGCAACGCCGCGUGAGUGAUGAAGGUCUUCGGGUCGUAAAGCUCUGUUAUUAGGGAAGAAAAAAUGUGUAAGUAACUAUGGCCGUCUUGACGGUACCUAAUCAGAAAGCCACGGCUAACUACGUG